CAGCUGGUGAAGAGCAGGCGUCUCUCAUGGGUUGCCACGCUUUUGCAGACUUGAUCCAAGGGUUAAAACGUUACAAGAACAGGGUUUUGUCUGAUCCAAGACUAGCGUAUGACUGGCUUAAACCCUCAUGUUGUCUAUGGUCGUAUGUCCAGAUUACCUACUCACCCAUGAAUUAUGUUAUAUGUUGCUAUAAGUGCUGGAGCUGCAAGCUACCUGUAAAUCUGAACCUGUGCUGGGCCUCCCAACCCCAGGUUUUCAGAUAUCCACUGGGCAUGGGAACUCUUGAGUAUUAUAAAGUAGCUUAUUUUUAUUUUCUGAAAGAAAUCUGAAGAGCAGUUCUGGAUCUCCAGUGGAAAGCGCAAUGGAAAAAAGGUUCUCAGGGAAGCUUUUGGAGUUUGCAACUACAGUAUUCCUUUGUCUGUCUUAAAUAUGAGAAUAGCUAUUAUGAAUAGGCCAAUACCAGAUAUUUCAUACAGAAGAAUUCUUAAUGUGUCAUGGUCCGGUGUUUAUGAUUUUUUGGAAGUCUGUUUGAUGACAGUUCUGGUUCUUUUCAUUAUUGUGAUCAUCCUUACAGUGGCGCAGUACUGCCAGUCCAGAGAUCAUACAUCAAUGCCAGAGAACGUUUGAGAUUGCGAUGAACUAAAAAAGAAACAAGCAAACAAACAAACAAAAAAAACCAACAAAAAGAGAUGUUAAUUGAUGGCCAGCAAAGUGCUUACCUAACAUAAAUCAGUGGUUGAUUUCUUGCAGGUAUCCACAUAGCGAUGGGUUUUCUUGGUUUGGUGUUCUAUUGUUUGUGCAAAAUCACAGCACAAGCACCAUUCUGGAGGAAAAAAAAAAACAACAAAAAAAGGCAUUCAGGUAUUGGAUAUUCUUCCAAAGAAGCAUUCUGUAAGCUCGGGACACGCAAACCACCUGGGGGAGCGAAGAGUUGACCCAAGAUAAUGAAGGGGAGAAACCCCUUUGGGGUCCCGACAUGGGUGUGUUCACUCCCUGCAUGGCUCCUGGAGGCGGUGGGGAGGAUUUGGGUGGCCAAUGCUAAAGGCAAAGCUGUGGUGUCAUUUUGAGCCCAAUUCUGCGGAUAUUUAGGGUGUAAUCCGUGAUUUGGAGAGGUCAGUGGGGAGCUUCCCAUUGACUACAGCAGGCAUUGAGCGCAGCGUGGCGCGGGUUGGUUCCUGCUGGGACGUGCCAUGCUGAGCCAUUUGCAGGAUCAGGCUCCACGAGUUCACCCAUUUUAGAACCCAUUCCAAGUGCAAAAAUACAAAAGAAAGGGAAAAAAAAAAAAAGAUAUAACAAUAAUUUGAGGUGUUAAAAACACGAUGUUCUUAACAUGUAAAUAGAGUCCAAAUUGAUUGUGACUGCAAUUCACUUAGUAUUUAAAAGUAGAGAAAUUGCACUUCCUGGAAGAAAGAGAGGAAAAAAAAAAAAAGAAAAAAGAAGUAGUUAGUUUAAUUAUCCUGUAAAUUAUUUAAUUUCGGCAAGAUGUAUGUAAUUUAUAUUUACAACACCUUCUGUUCACUUUUGCUAUUUAUUUAACUUUUUUAUUUAUUAAUUUUAUACUUACUUUAAAACUGGACUCCGCACCAUUGAAAGAAAAAAAAAAUGAAGAUAAAAGAAGCAAAAAAAAAAAAAAGUUUAAAAAUUAAAACUUUUGACCAUAAAAAAGGACAUUCCC
This 1675-nucleotide long non-coding RNA is filed under the name Gallus gallus (chicken). Its description in RNAcentral is "lncRNA (ENSGALG00010025197.1)". Lineage: Eukaryota; Metazoa; Chordata; Aves; Galliformes; Phasianidae. The record is from RNAcentral.